This is a long non-coding RNA of Cyphomyrmex costatus, 179 nucleotides long. RefSeq lists it as uncharacterized. Lineage: Eukaryota; Metazoa; Arthropoda; Insecta; Hymenoptera; Formicidae. The record is from RefSeq and is a predicted model, not a curated record. The transcript is spliced from 3 exons.
GAGCCACGAAGAGAAAAUACUUUCGGCGUAUGAUCCUGAGACGACCCCUGGGAUCCUAACGCGCUCUGAGGGUGAUGAGAGCGACACAUUGCGGGGGUUAAAGUGCCUGUCGAGAACGGCGAGGAAGUGGCGAGGUUCGUAAAAAUCGGCAUCGGGGGCGUGCGAUCCAGGCAGCGGUA